This 327-nucleotide ribosomal RNA is filed under the name uncultured eukaryote. Its description in RNAcentral is "partial 18S ribosomal RNA". It matches the Rfam family "Eukaryotic small subunit ribosomal RNA", at positions 1470 to 1796 of the family's 1831-position model. The record is from RNAcentral.
CCCCUAGAUGUUCUGGGCCGCACGCGCGCUACACUGAACAGUUCAACAAGUCUUAACCUUGGCCGAUAGGUCUGGGUAAUCUUUGAACGCUGUUCGUGAUUGGGAUAGACCUUUGCAAUUAUGGGUCUUCAACGAGGAAUUCCUAGUAAACGCAAGUCAUAAGCUUGCGUUGAUUACGUCCCUGCCCUUUGUACACACCGCCCGUCGCUACUACCGAUUGAACGUUUUAGUGAGGUAUUUGGACUGGACCUUCGGAGGUUCGCGCCUCCGUUGCUGUUCGGGAAGACUCCCAAACUUGAGCGUUUAGAGGAAGUAAAAGUCGUAACA